Long non-coding RNA from Carassius gibelio (silver crucian carp), 865 nucleotides. RefSeq lists it as uncharacterized. The record is from RefSeq and is a predicted model, not a curated record. The transcript is spliced from 3 exons. NCBI's taxonomy places the organism in Eukaryota, Metazoa, Chordata, Actinopteri, Cypriniformes, Cyprinidae.
UAUUCCAAAAUUCAUAAAAGGUGUUCCUUUAUAGGUUAGCUCAUUCUUUCAAGUCAUAUGUAUUCAGAGUGACCCCUACUUUCACUGUAUUAAUAUUCAAGGCAUUUUACUGUAUAGUUUUGGAGAAAACUAAAAGCAAAUUCACCCAAAACAUCAAUCUCCAUUGUUGCACUUAAACUUUUUCCCAUUUUCAAAAAUUCAUAUACAGUGUUCCUUUAUAGGUUAGCUCAUUCUUUCAAGUCAUAUGUAUUCAGAGUGACCCCUACUAUCACUGUAUUAAUAUUCAAGGCAUUUUACUGUAUCGUUUUGGAGAAAACUAAAAGCAAAUUCCCGCAAAACAUCAAUCUCCAUUGUUGCACUUAAACUUUUUCCCAUUUUCAAAAAUUCAUAUAAAGUGUUCCUUUAUAGGUUAGCUCAUUCUUUUAAUGUAUAUGUAUUCAGAGUGACCCAGACUACCACUGUAUUAAUUAUCAAGGCAUUUUACUGUAUAGUUUUUUUAGAAAACUAAAAGCAAAUUCACCCAAAACAUCAAAAUCCAUUGUUGCACUUAAACUUUUUCCCAUUUUCCAAAAUUCAUAUAAAGUGUUCCUUUAUAGGUUAGCUCAUUCUUUUAAUGUAUAUGUAUUCAGAGUGACCCAGACUACCACUGUAUUAAUUAUCAAGGGUUUCUACUGUAUAGUUGUGGAGAAAACUAAAAGCAAAUUCACCCAAAACAUCAAAAUCCAUUGUUGCACUAACACUUUUUCCCAUUUUCCAAAAUUCAUAAAAGAUGUUCCUUUAUAGGUUAGCUCAUUCUUUCAAGUCAUACAGUAUUGUUCAAAAUAAUAGCAGUACAAUGUGACUAACCAGAAUAAUCAAGGUUUUU